CUCUUUCUAUUGUAUAACACUGAGCAGGGAAAAGAGACAGAGAAAGCAGGCCCACAGCUGGAGCAGACCAGUCCUGUUUGAAUCAGGGGACAUUUGAGUCCCACUGCUGGAUAAGAAAGAGGAAUUCUGUCAGCCCCGGGUCAGGCUACAGCCAUGAAGCAAAGAGCAGUGGGAAAUGAGGUCUUCAGGUGCAAUAAAUCUUCCCCAGCUUCCUAAAGCCCUGCAUGUGAUCAUCAGAGGUGGGAGGUGAAAUCACAUGGUUACAAGGGUCCUGCUUGCAUGGUGGCAGACUUUUCCACUGCUCUGUGAUCUGGCAAAUGGAAAACAAAACAAAGAGCAAAACUGAAAGAACUACGGAUGACUAGUGCAGAGAUGCAGAUCACACUAAUUUUUAAAGUAAAUGUAUGGUCUUUCUUUUGUUCUUGGAAUAGAAAGCUAUAGCAGGCUUUGUUCAGGUAGGAAAUAGGUCAAAACAUGCCAAGAGAAGUGAAUGGAAAAUUUGUCUAGUCACCCAUAGAUUUUAAAGUGUGGAUUCACAACUAUAGCUAACAUUGUUUUCUACCAGCAGUGGUUAGUUAUUCCUUCAUGACAACACCCUUUUCUGUCCAGCCUCCUCACACAAAUCCUCCGAGUGCUCUGACCAGUUUAACUGCCUAAUAGUCCUAAAAGUGCAUCUAUUUUAGUUACACUGACAACCACACACCCAGCCCUGUCCUUUAAGGCACAAAACUGACCAGCUCUAUUUUUUACUAAACUCACGUGGCCUGCUCAAAACAAACAGAUACUGGCAGGAGCAAAAUCCAAAUUAUACACUGCUUUAUCCCAGGAACACAAAGUACAAGGCCGACUCAGUGAGUCAGACACCUCUGAGCCAGUGAGCUCCUCAGGUUGACAGAAGUCUCUCUGGGAUCCUCAUACUUGUAAGCCAGGACAUUUUCAGAAAAGAAUCAAAACAAUUGGGUUUAGACAAACAUGUGUUGUGUCAUUAACAAAAGUAUCUCUCUGCCAUCAGAGGGGAAAAGGCAGCAGAAAGUAUGCCAGGAAUGCUGGAAAUGGGCAGACAGUCACAGCGAGUCAUAUUUUCUUCUGGUUUUUUUUUCCCCCCAAGAAACUCCUUCAGCAUGAAAAGUCCAUUUGCGAGAGCAGUUAGUUACGGGGGAAAAGGCAAAUAUUUCAACAAUAACACAGGGAAUGUGGAUCCAAUUUAUGCACAACAGAAGCCGGAGAACUCCUCAAUCUCUGCAAAGAUUUCUCAGCAUCCUUGGAAAAUGCUUUGAAUACUUCAGCUGAGCCAACUUCAACCCUUCAAGCACAUCCCUUUGUCUAUCAGUAAAAGGCCAUAUUCCACACAUGUAUUUAUGAACAGUAAAUGCUAGAUGCACAUAGGCAGCCCUCUGGUUUCUAUGUUUCACAAGCGUUAGUUUUAAUCAAUUAAAUUAAUCCAUUUCCUUACGAUCAAAAUAGAGGUUUCUCCCACAAUUUGCUACUCUCUUACUAGAAACUGGAUGCCUUGAACCAAAUGCAUCACUUCCCCUACUCCACGUUUAAUUUCAUGCUUCUUUUCAGCUUGUUGUGGUUUUUAUGCUUCCCUGUGACAAAAGCAUCUAGGUUAUUGUGGAGUGCUACAAAAGAAGAUUUGCAGUAGAACAGCCUGUUUAAAAUAUGAAUCCAUUAGGUAUUAAUCUAUCUUGAUAUCUAUUUAGAAAUUUUUGUCUAUGAAACAAUGAAUAAUCUAACUCAUCUUGCCUCAUAAAAUACAAACCUUGUUUUCCUGGCAGUUUUACUUCAUAGAAAGAAAUUUAAAAAGGAAGACAGUAAGGGUUUUUUAUUACAAAAGAAUAAGCCAAUUGCUGGUUUAAAGGACUGCCAGAGGGUGUUGGACCCUUUUGCUCACUAUCAGGUGACAGACACAGACAUUUUUGGUAGAGGAGAAGUCUUGUGUGGAUGUUUAUCAGGCAUGGAAAUAGCAGCUGAUAAAGCAGCAAGAGGUGUUUUUCAUUCCUCAGUCUGUAAAAGAAGUGUUCCCUCUCCUCUUUGCAAACGAGAAAGUGGGUUGGCUUUUUUGAUUCAGGAUCCAAAACACAGUCUGAUAGCUGUGAACAACAACAAACAAGCUGUUUUCUGAGCUGAGAGCUCUGUGAAAUUUGAGGAACUUUCAAGAGACCAGAUUAACAACUGCACAUGAGAAUACCCAGCUACAGCAUAUAUGCAGAAGCAACAAGCUCUCAUUUUUAAUUUUAUUUCUAUUUCAUGUUUGACAUAACAAGUGCAAUCUGAGAUUUCUGUUUUCUUUCACCCCAUUCCUAUGAAGGGUGUGGGCUCAGGCAGGUUAACUACCUCAAAUUGUGAGACUGCAAAUUGAGUGUACUUUUGGUUAAGAGCUGGAAAAGAAAAAAUCAGGUUGAAUAACAGUCUGUCAGGUGCCCUGACAUUUGAUCAAAUGUAGCCCCCUGGAAGAAAAUCUACAUUGAGGAGUACUGUCCUCAAAGCCAUAUAUUAAUGUGGGCUGGUAAAGUACUUCUCAUCUUACGUUUUAAAAAUAUAUAUAUGUUUUGUUAAGAAUGAAUUAAAUACAAAGCAAUGAGUCCAGACAACAAGAUGUAUCAAUUACUUUUUAAAAAAUAAUAUUCAAUGUAACUAUUAUAUGUAAAAGAGCUCCUAAAAAUGUCAGGGACAAGGCUGUUGAUAAUUACUUUCCUGUGGGUGAUGACCGAGGUAGUAUUUUAGGAAAGAAUAGUCUUCCUAAGUUCCUUCUGGAGGAAUUUUAUUGAUUAGUGAGUGCUGUAUAUUACCCAGAGGCUUACAAGGUAGCAAGAAUUGAGAGGAUUCUAGUAUUUCAAAAGCUCAAGGGGAAGGACCAUUGAGGACACCACUAUCCAUCUGCAGGGUGGCUUAGAGGAACUCAAAUUAUUCAAAACUUUGAAGAAACCUUUCAGAGCCUAUUGAAAAUUACAUCUGAAGAGCUCUCAACAGGACCUGUUAAACUAAUUGCACAUCUCCAUUCAAGUCCCAAACUCUUCAGGAAGAAAUGUUUGCUUAUACCCUGAAAGGCUGAACUUAGAACCUUAAUACAAGCUCUUCCACUAUAACUCACUACAAUGAUCUUCCUGAGUGGAAAAAAAAAACCAAAAACCUGAUACAUCUUGCCUUUCAAUAUUUUAAACCAGCAUGAACCAAAAGUUAGUGCAAAACCAAAGGAAGAAAAUGCAUUAACAGACAAAGCUAUCUCAGACCCAGGGCUGCUGAGAAAGACUGAAAUCAGUCUUUGGUCUCAAACCUUGAGAAUCACAAAAGAAGGAAAGAAUUCAAUGGUUCAGUAUUGGUCAAAAAAGAAAACUGUUUGCCAUAUCUUUUGUAUUUAAGAAAACAAGGUCCAAUUCUUGAUUCCCUACACUGUAAACAGGACAGUGUUAGGAUGCAAAGACUAAAACAUAAGAGGCUAAAACAACUGGUUGAAAGCUGUGUGUUCCAUGAGGUUUGCGUGUAAUGUUUCUGCACUGCUGGUUAUGUUUUGACACCACAACACUUUUUACUGCAGAGGAAUCUUAACUGCUGUGGCCUCCAGAUUUCCAGAAGUCAAAAGGAUCUUUUUUUCAGUUCACAAUGGAAGUAUACACCUAUGUUUCUCUAAUAGCAUCUGUGCAAAAUCCUCAUUACAGAAAAGCCUUUCAUUUCUGUGUCUAUGUAUUUUUUCUGUGUUUCAAAAGACCACAAGCAUAACUCACUAGCAGAGCAUACCAGAGACUGAAAUAGGCAAAUGGGAUGUAACAACAAUUCUGUGAAACUCAAGGAACAGUAUAUGAUGUUCUCAAUUAACUUCUCAUUAAUUAAUUUUCAAUCUUCCUGUCAUGUGUUGAUGACAUAAACUAUAGACAGACCCUUCCCUUCUCUGGGCAGGACUACUUCUCUGUCACACUAUGCCUAUUAAAGAACUACACCACGCCCAACAACAGCCCCAUGCCUUCCUUGCUGAGUGUGCUUACUCCCCAAGAGCUGACAACCAAGAAUGACAUUUCUGAACUCACUCCUCUUUGGUUUCUCAUAUAUCACAGCCUCAACAAAAAAGUUCUCAUGCAUCUCAUUACUCACCUA
This is a long non-coding RNA of Haemorhous mexicanus (house finch), 4092 nucleotides long. RefSeq lists it as uncharacterized. The record is from RefSeq and is a predicted model, not a curated record. The transcript has 4 exons. Lineage: Eukaryota; Metazoa; Chordata; Aves; Passeriformes; Fringillidae.